CGCGAGGUAGAGCAGUUUGGCAGCUCGUUGGGCUCAUAACCCAAAGGUCGUAGGUUCAAAUCCUACCCUCGCAA
This 74-nucleotide transfer RNA is filed under the name Spirochaetales bacterium. RNAcentral's name for it is "tRNA-Met". It matches the Rfam family "tRNA". From Rfam's summary of the family: Transfer RNA (tRNA) molecules are approximately 80 nucleotides in length. Their secondary structure includes four short double-helical elements and three loops (D, anti-codon, and T loops). Lineage: Bacteria; Pseudomonadati; Spirochaetota; Spirochaetia; Spirochaetales. RNAcentral also lists the same sequence under 1 other name. The record is from RNAcentral.